GGUCAUGAGCGCCAGCGCCAAGCCCCGGCUCGCUGGCCGGCAACCCUCCUCGUCGUGGGGUGCUCCGGGUGAGGACCGGACCCGUGCGUCCGCACGGGUAAGGACGACCG
RNAcentral lists this non-coding RNA (110 nucleotides) under Cellulomonas carbonis T26. Its description in RNAcentral is "Cellulomonas sp. T26 SAM (S-adenosyl methionine) riboswitch aptamer". It matches the Rfam family "SAM (S-adenosyl methionine) riboswitch aptamer". Rfam says of the family: SAM-IV is a mRNA element that regulates gene expression via direct sensing of S-adenosylmethionine (SAM or AdoMet). SAM-IV riboswitches share conserved nucleotide positions with the previously described SAM-I riboswitches sequence analysis and molecular recognition experiments suggest that SAM-I and SAM-IV riboswitches share similar ligand binding sites, but have different scaffolds. The record is from Rfam by way of RNAcentral. Lineage: Bacteria; Bacillati; Actinomycetota; Actinomycetes; Micrococcales; Cellulomonadaceae. RNAcentral also lists the same sequence under 1 other name.